UAGGGAAUCUUCGGCAAUGGACGAAAGUCUGACCGAGCAACGCCGCGUGAGUGAAGAAGGUUUUCGGAGCGUAAAACUCUGUUGUUAGAGAAGAACAAGGACGUUAGUAACUGAACGUCCCCUGACGGUAUCUAACCAGAAAGCCACGGCUAACUACGUGCCAGCAGCCGCGGUAAUACGUAGGUGGCAAGCGUUGUCCGGAUUUAUUGGGCGUAAAGCGAGCGCAGGCGGUUUCUUAAGUCUGAUGUGAAAGCCCCCGGCUCAACCGGGGAGGGUCAUUGGAAACUGGGAGACUUGAGUGCAGAAGAGGAGAGUGGAAUUCCAUGUGUAGCGGUGAAAUGCGUAGAUAUAUGGAGGAACACCAGUGGCGAAGGCGGCUCUCUGGUCUGUAACUGACGCUGAGGCUCGAAAGCGUGGGGAGCAAACAGG
RNAcentral lists this ribosomal RNA (429 nucleotides) under Gemmatimonadota bacterium. RNAcentral describes it as "Gemmatimonadetes bacterium partial 16S ribosomal RNA". It matches the Rfam family "Bacterial small subunit ribosomal RNA", at positions 355 to 776 of the family's 1533-position model. The record is from RNAcentral. Lineage: Bacteria; Pseudomonadati; Gemmatimonadota.